UAGGAGUAUAAUCUUUCCAUAAAAACCUAAUGAAAUUUGUCAUUAUGUUUAGAAAGGGAUACCCUUUUUGGUCAUUUCCUGUAGCUAAUGGACCAAGACUCAUAUGUCUACAUCUAAAGGCACCCCAAACCCCUCGCCCAAAAGCAAAACGGUCAGAGCUCCAAAAAAAAGCCUUCACUUUAAUCAUCACAUCCAAAUCCUCCUCUUGUACACACACUUUUUUCGUUAAAAGCAUCCAGACAGACCACUCCAGUCUCCAAACAAUUACUAAUUAUUUACCAUCCUGUCAUUAGAUAUUAUUGGGCCCCAAUCAACAUGCAAAAUUUCAUGGGUCCACUAAAAUCAUAAGCAGCCCAUGGGCUUUGGUGCAGUGGAUCUGCGAGAGAUAUAAAAUAGUUAAAAUAAUAAUAAUAAUAAUAAUAAUAUGAUGAUGAUGCUACAAAUGUCUCUCAUUAUUAUUCUAUUAUUAUAUACAUUUCUUAUGACUGAUGUCUGGUUAUGUCAUAAUAUACCAUUUGUCUUAUUUCAUUCAAUAAAACUUUGAAAUAUUAG
Molecule: long non-coding RNA, 552 nt
Filed under: Panax ginseng (ginseng)
Lineage: Eukaryota; Viridiplantae; Streptophyta; Magnoliopsida; Apiales; Araliaceae
Description: long non-coding RNA (PGIN_LNC014369)
Source: RNAcentral